UUAGCCUGAAUUCAGUUUGAUAGUGACAAACUGACGGAUAAAUUCAGUAGCAUACUUUGUUUACUUGAUUCGGGGUCAAAGGAUUUGUACAUGUAAGUGGCGAUUAUACCUUCAAUAGCUGAAUUUGGGUUGUGUCUUUGAAUCACGGAUGGAUUCGUCGCUUAUACUGUACGCAGAGAUUAGAAAGUGUGAUGGAUCAGUGAUGGAAUCGUCGCCUGCGUCCGCGCCGGCCGCCGCCACGCGCACCUGAGAUCGAUCGGCGAUUAGGCGACGACAACUCUCUCGGACCUGGCCGCCGUGCAGUGCCGAUCAGCGGUUGGCGGCUCCGCUCGGGUCGCUCCGCCUCCGCUCGGUACGCAAGCGCUGUGGAUUUUCCUGAUAGAUCGUGUAUUCUGUUCUCUGUUCUGGUACGUGCUGCAGCAGU
Molecule: long non-coding RNA, 424 nt
Filed under: Hordeum vulgare
Lineage: Eukaryota; Viridiplantae; Streptophyta; Magnoliopsida; Poales; Poaceae
Description: long non-coding RNA (HVUL_LNC006162)
Source: RNAcentral